UCAAGCAAUAGAUUCUGUGGUUAAGUUAUAUAACCAUAUUUUAAUUACAUCCUGAUUUGUUAUUGUUUUUGUUGUAAUUAUCUAUCAAGAAUAUCAUGUAUGAAUAUUGAGAACAGAUGAUAAGAUCGUAACAUCAACGUACAUUGAAAUAAUGACGUAAUUUAUCACUUGAAGAUUAAAAUUUUUACUGCCUUUAUCACCAAUAAUUGAAUGUUGAUGUAUUUUUUGACGAGAAAUCUAUCACGUUUUCGUAGGUUUUUGCAUAUAAAUCACCUAAAACUACCAAAUAUGACUCAAAUUGAAACAGAAACCUAUGAGAAAGCAAUUCAAUUCUUGAAUGAAGUACAAUCAAACAGGAACAAUUUAUUGACCACAAGUACCCAAACAAUUGCUUCCAGCCAGACAUCUUCACAUAAAUUAGAUCUUGUCAAGAAAUAUCUCAUUCGAAGUGGAAUGAAUAUUAAUGAUUUCAAUAAAUUACCAGUAAUACAUGUCAGUGGAACCAAAGGAAAAGGUUCAACUUGUGCAUUUUGCGAGAGUAUUUUACGACACAAUGGUUAUAAAACUGGAUUUUUUUCUUCACCACAUCUAAUUGAAGUCAGAGAGCGAAUACGAAUUAAUGGUCAACCAAUAUCUAAGGAAAUUUUCUCCCAAUACUUCUGGAACAUUCUGAAAAAUUUGAAUUCUCACAAGGAGAGUGAGCAAGAUCUACCAUUUUAUUUUCAACUUCUAUUUAUAAUGGCAAUGCAUAUAUUUGUGAAGGAAAAUGUUGAUGUUGCCAUAAUAGAAGUGGGAAUUGGAGGAGAAUAUGAUCCAACAAAUAUAGUAAAAAAUGUUCCAGUAGUUGGUAUCACAUCUUUAGGUUUUGAUCAUACAUCAGUCCUUGGAAAAACCAUUGAAAGUAUAGCAUGGAAUAAAGCUGGAAUUAUGAAGAAAAAUAGUAAAGUUUUCACUGUUUCUCAACCUAAAGAUGCUUAUGAUAUUUUACAAAAAAGAAGUAUUGAAAAAGAGUGUACUCUCAAUGUUGUUGAUAAUUAUUGUCAUUUGAAAUGUAUGCAAAAGUAUCCACUCAGUAUUCAAACAAAUAUUAAUUUAGCUAUUAAAAUGGCUGAAGAAUGGCUGAUUUCUCGAUCAAAGCAAAACAAUUCAUUCUUGGAUGCAGAUGUUUUGAGAGAAUCUAUUGAAAAUUGCAUUUGGCCCGGAAGAUAUGAUAUCCAACAGAAAGGAAACACCACCUUCUUUAUCGAUGGUGCCCAUACUGUUGAAAGUAUUGAAAUUUGUGUAAAAUGGUAUUUAAAUGAAAUUAAAAAAAGAGAAGGCAAAAAAGCUUUGAUAUUCAAUUUAACAGGAGGCAGAUCAUGUGAAAAAUUCUUUACAAUACUAAAAAAAUGCGAGUUUCAACAAAUUAUUUUUGUUCCUAAUGUUGCUGAUACAUCAAAUGUAAAUGCGGGUAUGUUAGAUCUUCAUAGAAGUUACAUUUUUAUUGGAGUGGUAUCCUUACAUUCUACUAAAAUGGGUUUGAAUUUACCAUAAUCAGUUUUAGGGAGAAUAGCUCUCCUAUUGUGGGUCGACAAUCAUUAGGGCUAUCCAGAUCUUGGACACGGCAGAUCUGAAAAACUGGCUGAAAUGGCAGAUGAAACACUCUUUCAGGUUUCUCAGCCAGGAGUAGAGUCCCCUUUCUAUGCUUCUUCUGUCCACUUUCUUUUUCACACAUAGCAUGGUAGUUAUUUCACCUACAAUCCAGCAUGGUGUCCUUACUGCAGAAUGCCCGCUUCAUUUUCACAAAGAUAGCUCUUGCCUGUUUUAUUUCUAUUUCUUCCGAGCAGUCAUUAUUUUUGGUUGAUCAUGGUGCCCAGAUAAUAUUAAUUUGGUAUCACCUGUAGGUGAGCAACUAUCUCUUUGCAAUACUUAUAAAGAGAAAUGGUUGAGCAGUGCUCCUGAAGAUGAACAAGUAUGUGUUUUUCCUUGUGUUAAAGAGGCAAUGGAUUUU
Harmonia axyridis is the source of this 1990-nucleotide RNA transcript. It is a transcript of the gene named folylpolyglutamate synthase, mitochondrial-like, with no coding region annotated. NCBI's taxonomy places the organism in Eukaryota, Metazoa, Arthropoda, Insecta, Coleoptera, Coccinellidae. The record is from RefSeq and is a predicted model, not a curated record. The transcript is spliced from 10 exons.